This 168-nucleotide unclassified non-coding RNA is filed under the name soil metagenome. RNAcentral's name for it is "partial contains 5.8S ribosomal RNA, internal transcribed spacer 2, and large subunit ribosomal RNA". The record is from RNAcentral.
AACUGAUACUACCUGCGGGAACCUGCGGAGGGAUCAUUAGUGAAAGCCCUCGCGGGCUUAUAACUAUUCCAAACCUCUGUGAACCGUGCCCUUCGGGGCUAUUUUACAAACAUGGUGUAAUGAACGUCAUAUAUCAUAACAAAACAAAACUUUUAACAAUGGAUCUCU